RNAcentral lists this ribosomal RNA (396 nucleotides) under uncultured bacterium. RNAcentral's name for it is "partial 16S ribosomal RNA". It matches the Rfam family "Bacterial small subunit ribosomal RNA", at positions 360 to 774 of the family's 1533-position model. The record is from RNAcentral.
AAUAUUGCACAAUGGAGGAAACUCUGAUGCAGCGACGCCGCGUGAAUGACGAAGGCCUUCGGGUCGUAAAAUUCUGUCCUUGGGGACGAUAAUGACGGUACCCAAGGAGUAAGCCCUGGCUAACUACGUGCCAGCAGCCGCGGUAAUACGUAGGGGGCGAGCGUUGUCCGGAAUUAUUGGGCGUAAAGGGUUCGCAGGCGGUCUUUUAAGUCAGAUGUUAAAUGCAUAGGCUCAACCUAUGAGUGCAUUUGAAACUGGAAGACUUGAGUUAAGGAGAGGAAAGUGGAAUUCCUAGUGUAGCGGUGAAAUGCGUAGAUAUUAGGAGGAAUACCAGUGGCGAAGGCGACUCUCUGGUCUGUAACUGACGCUGAGGCGCGAAAGCGUGGGGAUCAAACA